Long non-coding RNA from Pogoniulus pusillus (Red-fronted tinkerbird), 1009 nucleotides. RefSeq lists it as uncharacterized. NCBI's taxonomy places the organism in Eukaryota, Metazoa, Chordata, Aves, Piciformes, Lybiidae. The record is from RefSeq and is a predicted model, not a curated record. The transcript is spliced from 3 exons.
GAUGAACUGUGCUGCAGGCUGAAUGCCUGGAAAUCCCCAGCCUAGAAGUCUAAUGACAAGCCCCACAUGCAAUCCACUGCUGCCACAGUAAAGAUUAAUCUCAAAUACAAGCAUGGAUUCUUCAGAUGGGAUUCUUGGCUGCCUACAUUUGUCUCACUCAGGACACCAGUGUGUACUAUCAUCUAUUUCAAGGGAAAUUGGUCUUGCGUGCCUCUUCUCCUAGGGAGUCAGCAUGCAAAAUCAAGGUUUCCUUUUACAUUUAAGUAAAUUGUUAUUCUGCUCUGCCUACUUGAAGCUCUACAGAAAAACUUAGCUUGGGUUUUUAAUACAUUGCAAUGACUGAUUCUCAAUCCAAAUGCAAUUUGUUUAACUUUAUGUCCAGUUUAGAGCUUUGAACUUCUUGUAAAACACUGUAUAAAGUACUGAGUGUUCUUGUACUUCCUAAUUCUGCCUGGCAUUUACAACAAUUCUUUCAUUAUCUCUAAGGGCAUGGCUCUGCCAAAACGGGCUUAGAGUUUGAUCCACUUCAUUGCUAUGAAUAAGAGCCUGUCCGUGGACUUCAAUGCAAGUUGAUUCACACUCUUUAUUGCUUCACCUUUACAAACUGAAUUCCAGGCUGUUCACCAUGGUAAAAACCUUGGCAGUAUUGAAGUGAAUGGGAUAUUUGCUGUGGAAUUCAAAAGAGCCAGGAUUUCAGCUAGAAUGUUUAAUAUCUCGCUGUUUAAACCUGUUUUCAGCCUUUGGAUUUGACUUGAACAUUCUACUUUGAAAUAGAUGCAGGAGAUGAAGGUGAAAUAAAAUGUCCAUAUUGAAGCUUGAUUAAAGUCAGAGUUACUGUUAGAUACUUGGUGUUAACUACAGCUGUAUAGGAUAGAAUUUACUGAGGUAAUUUGCCCAUUAAAGGCAAUCCUGUGACACGCCUGAGUCAAGGGGAUACCACCCAAGUGCUAACUCAGACUUUAAAUCCUGUGUGUCAGUACUUGCUUUUCACUAAUAAAAGUGCAUUCAC